This 303-nucleotide ribosomal RNA is filed under the name Triticum aestivum (bread wheat). RNAcentral describes it as "partial small subunit ribosomal RNA". Lineage: Eukaryota; Viridiplantae; Streptophyta; Magnoliopsida; Poales; Poaceae. The record is from RNAcentral.
AGGCCUGGGUAUUUUUCCCAAUACUUUUUGUGGAUUCCCAGAUUCCUACCUCAGAGUAGGAACCUGCAAAUUGUUGGCUUGGCAGCGUUGUGCUGGGCGAUUUGGAAGCUCGGGAACAGGGCUUAUUUUGAAUUUAAAAUACUAAAAUCACAUGUUAAAUUAGUUUGCUAUGUUGUAGCUUUUAUGAAUUACUAGGCAACGCUACAAAAUGAUGAGUAUCAUACAAUGUUGGAGCAAGGAGCUGCUGCAUUACAGAGGACCGUGUUGGAGCGUGUUGGAGCAGAGAAUGAGCGGAGUGGGUGA